GCGACUUCGGUUAGCUCAGUGGUUAGAGCGUGACACUUGUAUGUUCCCCGUUUUUGGGAAACAACGAUAUGUCAAGGUCGCUGGUUCGAUUCCGGUACUUCGCG
This 104-nucleotide transfer RNA is filed under the name Capsaspora owczarzaki ATCC 30864. Its description in RNAcentral is "tRNA-Thr". The stretch from base 10 to 98 matches the Rfam family "tRNA", at positions 6 to 65 of the family's 71-position model. From Rfam's summary of the family: Transfer RNA (tRNA) molecules are approximately 80 nucleotides in length. Their secondary structure includes four short double-helical elements and three loops (D, anti-codon, and T loops). Further hydrogen bonds mediate the characteristic L-shaped molecular structure. tRNAs have two regions of fundamental functional importance: the anti-codon, which is responsible for specific mRNA codon recognition, and the 3' end, to which the tRNAs corresponding amino acid is attached (by aminoacyl-tRNA synthetases). tRNAs cope with the degeneracy of the genetic code in two manners: having more than one tRNA (with a specific anti-codon) for a particular amino acid; and 'wobble' base-pairing, i.e. permitting non-standard base-pairing at the 3rd anti-codon position. The record is from RNAcentral. Lineage: Eukaryota; Filasterea; Ministeriida; Capsasporidae.